UGGGGAAUAUUGCACAAUGGGGGAAACCCUGAUGCAGCGACGCCGCGUGAGCGAUGAAGGCUUUCGAGUCGUAAAGCUCCGUUCUAUGGGAAGAUAAUGACGGUACCAUAGAAGAAAGCCCCGGCUAAUUACGUGCCAGCAGCCGCGGUAAUACGUAAGGGGCGAGCGUUGUCCGGAAUUAUUGGGCGUAAAGAGUGCGUAGGCGGCAAAUUAAGUCAGAUGUGAAAACUAAGGGCUCAACCCAUAGAUUGCAUCUGAAACUGAUAUGCUUGAGUCAAGGAGAGGAAAGUGGAAUUCCUAGUGUAGCGGUGGAAUGCGUAGAUAUUAGGAGGAAUACCGGUGGCGAAGGCGACUUUCUGGACUGGAACUGACGCUGAGGCACGAAAGCGUGGGGAGCAAACAGG
Molecule: ribosomal RNA, 404 nt
Filed under: Verrucomicrobiota bacterium
Lineage: Bacteria; Pseudomonadati; Verrucomicrobiota
Description: Verrucomicrobia bacterium partial 16S ribosomal RNA
Rfam family: Bacterial small subunit ribosomal RNA
Source: RNAcentral